UAUCUCUCUCAAAUGCAGACCAUCUUUCAAAAUUCAAAAUUUAAUAACUUUUUCUUUCUCUCCCUCCAUACGCUGCUUUCUCUCUCUUUUCUGUUUCCUCAAAUUAAAAACCCUAAACACAAUCCAUGGAGAUGCCACAAGAUGAAGAUGUCGUAAGAUUAAGAUUGAAGACACCACAGUCUUCCCAUGAAGACCUUUCUAAUUUCCGAUUUUCAAAGCACAUCUCUCUCUAGAAUGCUCACAAACAAGCUUCGGUCAAUUCUUUUGAAAGAGUUUCAGUUUUAAUGAAAGGUACGAUGGUCAACUUCCGGUGGCAUAUCUUUGACAGCCGCAACAUUUAUGGACAACACUUCAUCCACAUUGCCUACAACCACAUGGUUAAAAACCUUUAAAAUAUAGGUAAGAGGCAAUACUACGCACUAUGAUACUGUUGCUAAUACAGCUGCAUCUGGAGUCCUUUCAGCUGGCAUUAAUUCAGGUGUUCCGUGCAUAUUUGGAGUCUUCACAUGUGAAGAUAUGCAUCAGGCCUUGUUGGUGGUAAAGCAGGGAACAAGGGCUCUGAGGCAGCUUUGACUGCUCAAUAAUUAGGUUUAAGAAAAAGUGAGAUGUUACUAGAGAGGAGAGGAGUUUUUGCUGGUUCAGAUCUUUGAAUAAAGUUGUGGAUCAUAUCUUAAGGGGAUUGCUGUUGUUGCUCUUUUGAGUUGGGAACUCGCUUCUGACUCUUUAAUACUUUAAAGAAAAGUUUGAAGCUGCUGGUGUGAAGCUAAUGGCGAUUGAUAAAGUUAUAUGUUUUUAUCAAUAUUUCAUGUGUUGCUUCAAAGGCGUGAUGCUAAAUCUCAGCUUGGUUCAUAUCAGCUUCAUGUUCAUUUGUUUUGAUUAAGAUCAGUUUUUGAUUUGUUAUUUUAAUGUAGUAAGUUUUGAUUAUGAUUGGCUGUUGAUGAAGAGACUUAUUAGUUCUGGUUAUGAUUCUUGCAUUUGACGUGUUAAGUCGUGUAUAUUUCGGACAAUCGGUUCAAUUAGACAGUUGCUAGAUUAAAUUUGACCUGGUUUUUGUUUAGAUGAAAGAUGAUUUAAGUUGCGUGAUUCAUCUCAACUUCAUAUGCAUUUGUUUUUAUUAAGACGCUCUUAGAUUUGUGUAGUAUGUUUCGAUUAUGAUGGUUGUUGAUGAAGGGGCUGGUC
This 1179-nucleotide long non-coding RNA is filed under the name Helianthus annuus (common sunflower). Its description in RNAcentral is "hypothetical non coding rna". Lineage: Eukaryota; Viridiplantae; Streptophyta; Magnoliopsida; Asterales; Asteraceae. The record is from RNAcentral.